UACGAAGGGGGGCUAGCGUUGCUCGGAAUGACUGGGCGUAAAGGGCGCGUAGGCGGUUUGCACAGUCAGGCGUGAAAUUCCUGGGCUUAACCUGGGGGCUUGCGCUUGAUACGUGUGGACUGGAGUGCGGAAGAGGGUCGUGGAAUUCCCAGUGUAGAGGUGAAAUUCGUAGGAUAUUGGGAAGAAACACCGGUGGCGAAGGCGGCGACCUGGUCCGUGACUGACGCUGAGGCGCGAAAAGCGUGGGGGAGCAAACAGG
Molecule: ribosomal RNA, 259 nt
Filed under: uncultured bacterium
Lineage: Bacteria
Description: partial 16S ribosomal RNA
Rfam family: Bacterial small subunit ribosomal RNA
Source: RNAcentral